Molecule: small RNA, 19 nt
Filed under: Arabidopsis thaliana (thale cress)
Lineage: Eukaryota; Viridiplantae; Streptophyta; Magnoliopsida; Brassicales; Brassicaceae
Description: ATSL307750
Source: RNAcentral
CUUAUGUUUUGCUUCUUUU